Molecule: ribosomal RNA, 525 nt
Filed under: uncultured bacterium
Lineage: Bacteria
Description: partial 16S ribosomal RNA
Rfam family: Bacterial small subunit ribosomal RNA
Source: RNAcentral
AUUGAACGCUGGCGGCAGGCCUAACACAUGCAAGUCGAGCGGAUGAAGGGAGCUUGCUCCUGGAUUCAGCGGCGGACGGGUGAGUAAUGCCUAGGAAUCUGCCUGGUAGUGGGGGAUAACGUCCGGAAACGGGCGCUAAUACCGCAUACGUCCUGAGGGAGAAAGUGGGGGAUCUUCGGACCUCACGCUAUCAGAUGAGCCUAGGUCGGAUUAGCUAGUUGGUGGGGUAAAGGCCUACCAAGGCGACGAUCCGUAACUGGUCUGAGAGGAUGAUCAGUCAGAGAGGGACGGAGACGGAGUGAAGACUGGGGGGGGAGGCAGCAGGGGAGAAAAAGAGGCAAGGGGCGAAAAGAUGAACAACCGAUGGUGGGAGGAUGAAGAAGGUUGACGGAUAUGAAAACAUGGUAAGGGGGGAGGAAGGACAGUAAGUUAAUAUAUGACUGUUUUGACAGAAACAACAGAAGAAGCACCGACUAACUGCGAGACAGAAGCCACGGUAACAAUCGGAAGAGCACACGCCUGAAC